CAAGAUUCUAAGGAUCUGCCUUAUGAUCAACACUAAAUAGCAUAUUAAUAUUAAUAAAUAUCUGUAUGGCGUAAAACUGAGACAUUCACCAGCAAAUAUACAAAUACAUAACUACUCUUUGAUUAAUUUUAGGAUAAUCCAUCAAAAGUAAUGUGAAUAUUAUACUUUCUUUUUUUCCAAUAUUAAACCAUUUUUAAUUGACACAUAAUUGUACAUCUUUAUGGGAUACAAUUUGAUGUUUCAAUACACAUAUAUGUUAUAUAGUGAUCAAAUUAGGGCAGCUAGCAUUUCCAUCAUCUCAUGUAUUUAUCAUUUUUUUGUGGUGAGAACAUUCACAAGCCUCUCUUCUAGAUAUUUUGUAUUAUACAAUACAUUAUUGUUAACCAUAGUCACCCUAUUGUGCAACAGAACACUAGAACUUAUUCCUUCUAUCUCAUUGUAACUUGUACCUGUUGACCUACCUCUCCCCAUCUUUCCUUCCCCCCACCCCUCCCCACUUAGUCUCUGGUAAUUACUGUUCCACUACCUGCUUCUACAAUAUCAACUUUUGUAUUUGUUUUUCUGUGUUUGACUUAUUUCACAUAAAAUUAUAUCCUCCAGGUUCAUCCAUGUUGUCCAAAUGACAGGGUUUCAUUUUCUUUUAUGGCUGAAAAGUAUUUUAUUGUGUAUAUUUACCACAUUUUCUUUAUGUGUUUAUCCAUUGUUGGACACUAAUUUGAUUCCAUAUAUGAGCUAUUGUAAAUAAUGCUGCAAUAAACAUGGGAGUGCAGAUACAUUUUCAACAUGUAUAUUUCUGUUGGAUAUAUCCCUAGUAGGGGGAUUGCUGGGUAA
This 831-nucleotide long non-coding RNA is filed under the name Homo sapiens (human). RNAcentral's name for it is "HSALNT0320585". The record is from RNAcentral. Lineage: Eukaryota; Metazoa; Chordata; Mammalia; Primates; Hominidae.